Molecule: ribosomal RNA, 485 nt
Filed under: uncultured Methanolinea sp.
Lineage: Archaea; Methanobacteriati; Methanobacteriota; Methanomicrobia; Methanomicrobiales; Methanoregulaceae
Description: bacterial SSU rRNA
Rfam family: Archaeal small subunit ribosomal RNA
Source: RNAcentral
AAACUCAAAGGAAUUGACGGGGAGCACCACAACAGGUGGAGCCUGCGGUUUAAUCGGACUCAACGCCGGGAAACUCACCAGAUAAGACAGCUGAAUGAUAGUCGGGCUGAAGACUCUACUUUGACUAGCUGAGAGGAGGUGCAUGGCCGUCGUCAGUUCGUACUGUGAAGCAUCCUGUUAAGUCAGGCAACGAGCGAGACCCACGCCCACAGUUGCCAGCGUACUCUCCGGAGUGACGGGUACACUGUGGGACCGCCGCUGCUAAGCGGAGGAAGGAAUGGGCAACGGUAGGUCAGUAUGCCCCGAAUAUCCCGGGCUACACGCGAGCUACAAUGGUUGGUACAAUGGGUAUCUACCCCGAAAGGGGACGGGAAUCUCCUAAAACCAAUCUUAGUUCGGAUUGAGGGCUGCAACUCGCCCUCAUGAAGCUGGAAUCCGUAGUAAUCGCGUUUCAACAGAACGCGGUGAAUACGUCCCUGCUCCUU